ACGAUUAAAAGUCAGGGAGGGGUAUUCUUAGGGAGGGAGGAGUUAUACAUUGUAGGGGGACAUGAAGGGUUUGGGGGAUAGCAAAAUCCUAUCUUAUGACAUGGAUGUUGUUUACAAGGGUGUUUGCUUUAUAGCAAUACAUUAAUCUACACAUUUGUCCUAUGUGGGUUUUAAAGUUUGUAUUAUAUUUAACCAUAAAGGGUGCCGCGUGUGUAUGUGUUUAAAUGAUAUCACCAUUUUCAGGACUAUAGAAGCAGUCUGAGAGGCUUUGCAGCCGAGACCAAUGCUCAAAAUCAAGCUUAGCAGGACUGGUCUGCUGAGGUGCUACAGUCCCUGCUGCUGAGCAGCAGGCCCCAAGGAUUGUCACUGAAAUAGGGACUUCCCUGGUGUUCCCGUGGUUAAGACUCCACGCUCCCAAUGCAGGGGGCACGGGUUUGACCCCUGGUCAGGGAACUAGAUCCCGCGUGCCCCAACUAAAAGCCUGCAUGCCGCAACUAAAAGAUCCCUCGCGGCCAAAUAAUAUUAAAAAAAAAAAAAAGAAUUGUCACUGAAACAAUAUAGCUGCCACCAAUGCAAAAUCUUUGCUAAGUCUAUAUAGUUCAGCCUCUGUUUCUUUGUUUUCAGUAGCUUUCGCUGCAAAGUCUGGGUUGGUUGGUGGACCCCAAAUUCCAGGCAAGUGAGGGAAAGGGAGUAUCUCUUGUUUUCAGCUUCAAAAGUGGGGGUGGGCUCUGACUCUAAGGGUCAGGGAUUCAGGUGCUGGGCGGACAAAAUGAAUGAUAAAUGCCCCUGGUGUCAGUGAUGCUCAAACUUUACUGCACGUUAGAAUAUCUGGGAAGUGCUUUUAAAAAUAACCAAUGUUAAGGUUGCACCCCAGGCCAAGUAACACAGGAUCUCUAGGGUAAGACUGUUAGUGGUUUUCUUGUUUGACUUUCUGUGUGAUUGCCAUGUGCGGCCAAGUUCAUGAACCAGUGCCUACACUCUUGCUACUCAAAGUGUGGUCUUUAGGUCAGCCACAUUGGAAUCACCUGGGAGCUUGUUAGAAAUGCAAAAUCUCAAUGCCAGGCGCGCGCGCGCACACACACACACACACACACACACACACACACACUAUGGCUGUACUGAAUUAGAAUCAUAUCUUGAAACAAGAGCCCUAGGUGCUGCUUGUUAUGCACAUUCCAAUUUGAGAAGGGCUGAUCUACACUGUUCUUCCAAGGCCAGCCCAAGUCCCACCAGCAAGGAUAUUCCCUACUCCUGAGCAGGGAAUUGACCUUGCCCUUCUCCAUCCAUUCUGUAGCACUUUUGAGCUACAUUUCCACUGGGCAUGUAUUGCAGACUUCCUUGGUUGUGGUUAAUUGUCUUAUGUUGGCUCAUCUCCUUACCAGACUGUAAGCUCUGGUGGGCAGGGACCCUGUCUCAUCUCCUUUGUGUCUUCACAGUACUUAGCGCACUGCCAUCCAAGCGGCAGGAGCUCAGGAUGUGUGAUCAGUGAACCAGUGACAGCCUUCUCCAUCUUUCUCUGGCCUCCUUGUUCCCACCCCGACUUUCAUGCAUUCACAUUUGUAUUCCAAUUUAAAGGCAACUUCAAAUAUAACCAUAAAAGAACCUUAAAAUUCAAGCCCAACCUUUUUCUGCGACUACCACCAGACACAGGAUAAGCUGGAUGACCUCGUGGAUCUCUGUUGCCUUGGAGGAGGUGGGCUAGGAAGCCCUCGGAGACUCAGUCCAAUGUAAAUAUUCUCGGAUUCUGUGGUUCCCCUCUGCCGGAUUAACCAAGACUCAAAGUACUCUUAACUCUUGCGAGUUGGCAGGGAUGGCUAUGGAGAAAUUAUAAAUUAAAUAGAGCCAUUGAGCCACCUUGUGACCAUUCCUGGGAACUGCGUUUCUUCAUUGUGCACCGGAAACUUCUCCAGAGCCCAUCAGUCUGAGAUCCGUCAUCAAGAAUUUACGGUAAACACAGCCACACAAAAUUAAAUUCUCUCUCCCAACCUCCAAUAAGAUGGGAGUAAAGGAAUUUACAAAGUAUAAUCAAUCCUACAAAAACCAAAUAAAAAAAGGCAAGAAACAUCUGUAAGAAUAAAAAAAUUUAUUUAUGCAAAUAUUGACCUAGGUCUUUAAAAAGUGGGAGAUAGAAAACAGAGCUAACUAUUCUAGAGCAGAAGUUACAACCUAAGUGUUUUCAAAGGUGGAUGCCAAUAAAAAGUGAGCAGAUUCACCCUGAAUCCCACGAGUUCCAGAGUUUAGCGGUACCAGGGACCAUGGAGAAGAUAAACAUGUGGUGAUGGGUUAAAAAUGGGGAUGGGUAGAAAGUCUGUGUAAGAAAUAAUGGGAUCCCCAGGUGUCCCCGCCCACCUCUUGCUGCCAGGAGUUGCUGCCACUCUUGCUGGAGGCUUAUUAUUUGCAGAAAUGGACUGACAGAACCUCCAGACGAGGACACAGGGCAUGGGGAAAGGUGGAGGAAUCUAUUGGAGGAUAUAUUCUAGCAAAAUGAAAAAGUACACCAGGAAAGAGGGAGACCUGAGAUCCUGCAGGGCGGUGCCGCUGGCCUAGGAAGCAACCGAUCUCUAGUGGACUGAGGACGUGGUCUUCAGAAACGCAAGUGGGAGAAAUAAUAUUGAUAGGUGAUGGAUGUUACAGAGCUGAUGGAGCAUGUGAAAAGAGUGAGGAAAGGGACCAGGCUAGGGACCAGGCUGUCUGAGAGCAGGGAUAAAAUCUGCCCGGUUUGCCACUGGAUCUCCAGUGCCUAAGUGUUCCUGGCACAUAGAAGUUGCCCAGUAAAUCAUGUUAAAGGAGUGAGUGAAUGAACACAUAAACGAGAGUUGAUGAAGCUUCACGUAUGUGCUUUGAGCCAGGCAGUACAGCAGACACCUAGAAAUACAGGAUAAAUGUAAUUUUAAAUGCAUAGCAAAAUUCUCAAGAAAGCAAGGACAACUGAGGGACAAACAGGUCACUUAGAAAUCAUAUUGCAGGGCUUUAAUUUACAGAUGUCCAGAGAUGCCACUGCUCCUUCUCCUCCCUGCUCAGUGAAAUCAGGGCUGCAUUCCCAUCACCCCAUCAGGAAAGCUCUUGCUGAGGUCAGAGCGAUGCUGAAUCUGAGAUGUUGACUCAUUAAUCUCACUCCUUCCUGAAACACCUCCUUCACUUGGAUCCCAGGACACUGCUCUCUCCCUCCCUCACUUGCUCUCCUCAGUCUCAGAGCCAGUGUCCUCUUCAUCUUCCUUUUUUUUUUAAUGGAGUAUAGUUUAUUUACAAUGCUGUGUUAGUUUCAAGUGUACAGCAAAGUGAAUCAGUUAUACAUAUACAUAUAUCCACUCUUUUUUAGAUUCUUUUCCCAUAUAGGUCAUUACGGAGUAUUGAGUAGAGUUGCCUGUGCUAAUCUGAUUUCAGCUAAUCCUGAGUUAGGACACGUACUCCAUGAGGUAUGUGUUGUUGUCCGCAUUUGGCAAGUGGAUAAAUACAAGCUCAGCAAAUUAUGUAACUUGUCAGAAUCACACCAGCAGAAAGGAAAACUCAGGCCCAUUCCCAGGUGGGUCUGACUCCCAUACCUGAUCACUUACCUUCCCUGGAAGUCCAUGCCCUAAUGGAGGGCCACUUUCACUUCUUGAUAUCUGUUGUAAAAAUAGAGCAGUACUUUAGAAAAUAAUAUGAGACGUGUGUAUACUAUAAUAUCAUCUGAGUAUGGGACUUGACCCUGCACCACAUAGAGGUAUGUUAUACACAACUGACUAGAGUUUACAAGUCCGUUUUUUAGAACUGAUUAAAUGUCUUUUAUUAAAAUUUAAAUUCCCAUAAUAUUGUAAUAAUAAGUGCUCACAUAAAAAGCAAAUAGAAUAGACUCUGGUCAUUUAUAAAAUAGCAUUAUAUGAAACGAGUCUCAAUAAAUUUUAAAAGAUUGAAAUAUUUAAAAGUAUCUUUUCUGACCACAAUGAAACUAGAAAUCAAUAAUAGAAGAGAAACUGGAAAUUUUACAAAUAUAUGAAAAUUAAACAACAUACUGUUUUUUCAAUGAAGGUAUAAUUGACAUAAAACAUAUUCAUUUCAGGUGUACAAAAUUAUGAUUCAAUGUAUGUAUAUAUUGCAAAACAAUCACUACGAUAAGUCUAGUUAACACCCAUCACCAGACAUAGUUACAGAUUUUCUUUUCCUUGUGAUAAGAAUUUUUAAGGGCUUCCCUGGUGGCGCAGUGGUUGAGAGUCCACCUGCCAAUGCAGGGUACGCGGCUUCGUGCCCCGGUCUGGGAAGAUCCCACAUGCCGCGGAGCUGCUGGGCCCGUGAGCCAUGGCCGCUGAGCCUGCGUGUCCGGAGCCUGUGCUCCGCAACGGAAGAGGCCCGCGUACCGCAUGAAAAAAAAAAAGAAUUUUUAAGAUCUACUCUCUUAGCAACUUUCAAAUAUAUAGUACAGUGUUAUUAACCACAGUCACGAUGCUGUACAUUACACCCCCUGGACUUAUUUUAUAACUGGAAGUUUGUACCUUUCGACCAUCUUCACUCAUUUCACUCCAUCUCCCAGCCCCCUGCCUCUGGUAACCACUAAUGUGUUCUCUGUAUCUAUGAGCUUGUUUUUUCAUUUGUUUUUUUGUUUGUUUGUUUUAGAUUCCACAUAUAAGUGAGAUCAUAUGGUAUUUUUCAAUUAGCAUAAUACCCUCCAUGUUGUUGAAAAUGGCAGGAUUUCCUUCUUUUUUUAUGGUUGAAUAAUAUGCCAUUGUGUAUGUAUGUGUAUAUGUCUAUCAUAUAUAUAUACAUAGUUCACAUUUUCUUUGUCCAUCGAUGGACACUUCGGUUGUUUCCAUGUCUUGACUAUUGUAAAUAAUGUUGUAACGAACAUGGGGGCAUAGAUAUCUUUUCCAGUUAGUGUUUUUCUUUCUUUCAGAUAAAUACCCAUAUGUGGAACCGCUGAAUCAUAUGGUAGUUCUAUUUUAAAUAUUUUGAGGGACCUUCAUACUGUUUUUCACAGUGACUGCACCAAGUUACAUUCUCACCACCAGUGCUCGGGGCGUUCUCUUUUCUCCACAUCCUUGCCAACACUUGUUAUUUUUUAUCUUUUUUACAACAGCAGUUCUAACAGGUGUGAGGUGAUAUCUCAUGGUGGUUUUGAUUUGUAUUUCCCUGAUGAUUAGUGAUGCUGAACAUGUUUUCGUGUACCUGUUGGCCAUUUGUAUGUGUUCUUUGGAAAAAUAUAUAUUCAGAUCCUCUGCCCAUUUUUAAAUUGGGUUGUUUGGGGUUCUCAGAUAUAUGAUUUGCAAAUGUUUUUUCCCAUUUGGUAGGUUGCAUUUUCAUUUUGUUGAUGUGCAGCAUAGUGACUACAAUUAAUAAUACUGUAUUGUAUAUUUGAAAGUUGCUAAGAGACUAGACUUUAAAAGUCUUCAUCACAAGAAAAAAAAUAGGUAACUAUGUAUGGUGAUGGAUGUUAACGAUACUUAUUGUGGUGAUCAUGUCAUAGUGUAUACAAAUAUCGAAUCAUUAUGUUAUACACCUGCAACUAAUAAUGUUAUAUGUCAAUUAUACCUCAGUAAAAACCAAAAACAAAACCCCAAAGCAAUAUGGUCUUGGCAUAAAGACAGACAUAUAGACCAAUGUAACAGGAUAGAGAGCCCAGAAAUAAACCCUCACAUACAUGGUCAAGAAUCCAACUUCCCCAGAAGGCAUUCCUACCAACUGUUCAGUCACUAUGUGAGUGACUGAGUGGGAGCUCUCCCACAAGUUCUGGAAGCUUCUUGGCUUGACAGUAAGCCCAGGGCUCUCAGUUGCCGCCUUCCAUCCCUGAUGGCUGGUUGGUGGCAAGAAGACUGGUGAAAACAGCAGCAAAGCAAGUGGUAAGGGUAAAUUUGUGAUUUGUAGUAAGUCAACUUGCCCGGUUAUAAAAAUAUCAACCGUGUUGUGUUGCCAUCUUCAAAACGUCAGAUCUUAAGUCUGGAGAAGGAAGCUCACAUCUUUCAGACCCAUGAAUAUUAUCCAGACUCUAUUGCUCAGAUAGGCAGAGCAGAGGUUUUAAUUUUAAUGAAGUCCAACCUACCAGUUUUUUCUUUUCAAAAGCGUGGAUCACGCUUCUGGUGUUGCAUCUAAAAAGUUAUCGCCCAACAUAAGGUCACUUAGGUUUUCUCCUAUGUUAUCUUCUAUGAGUUCUAUAGUUUUGUAUUUUACAUUUAGGUCUAUGGGCUAUUUUGAAUUAAUUUUUGUGAAGGGUGUAAGGUCUGGGUCUAUAUUCUCUAUCUCUCUCUUUUUUGCAUGUGGAUGUCCUGUUGUUCCAGCCCCAUUUGUUGAAAAGACUAUUCUUUCUUUUACCAUUUAAUUGCCUUUGCUCAUUCGUCAAAGAUCAGCUGACCAUAUUUGCCUGUGUCUACUUCUGGGCUCUCUAUUCUCUUCCAUUGAUCUAUUUGUCUUAUUGCUCAGAUUGGAAUAUCAGUGGAAUUAUUGGACAGUCUGUCUCAGCAACAAAAGCAAAGCUGUAGGAGCCUCAGCUAAUUCGUUGACUUGAUUCACAGAAAAGACAUUGGACAAUUUCUACAGUUUUGCUUGGUUAUUUGCUGUCGCUUGGGCCCAGAUGAUACCAAGGCCAUCUGAAAUGUUUAUUCAGGCAAGUGUGGUUCUGAAUGGUAUGAAAAACAAGUAGCACAAAAAUCUCUUUUUUAGAAAACAAUUUGAAUAAAGUCAUUUUUAAAGGAUUCUGAAGCUUAAGUCAUGAACAUAAACACCACCAUUUAAAAGCAAGAGAUGAAAAGGCGAAUGAAGCUUCAGUUUAAAGACAUCUUAGUGAUGGUGAAGCUUAAUUAGAAGAAAUUUUACAAAAUGAAAAAUAUGGAAUAAUGAAAAUAAUGAAUCAUGUUGAUUAUUUGUUACUUCUUUCCUAAUAUUAUUUAAAAUACUAUUUAGAGUCAAAAUGUUUUAUUUGUUUAAAACAUGUAUUAUUUACUUGAAAAAAAAGUGUAUCAACUAACAAAAUACCCAACUUAUAAGACGUGUAGUUUGAUUUACUGUGUUCACUAUUGACCAAAACUUAAAAUUCUAACUUCCCGAAAUAAAUAUUUCAUGAGUUAUUUAUUUUUUGGAAGGAGCAUUUCAGGAACAACCUAUAGAUAAGGAUUGGGUUCCAAUUCCUCUUUAUCCCUAUAACAUUCUCUCCUUUUAUGAUAAAAUAUAAACAUGCAAAAAAACACACCCCUUGAAUAGGCUCCUUUCUACAUUUUUUUGCCUAAUGAACUACAUUAGGUAAAUUACAAAGGUCAACCAAACUGUGGUUCUUUUCUACUUUGCAGGAUUCUAAGACACUUUAUAGUUCACACCACAGAAAUAAGAAAGAACAUCUUCAAUGAAUUCUUAACUGUAGAGAACCUAUGAGAAGGAAAUUAACACAAUGUUAUGCGAUGACAAAAUGAGGGCUGAAAGUCAACAAAUUGACCUCAUUUUAAAAAUGUCGGGCUUCCCUUGUGGUGCAGUGGUUAAGAAUCUGCCUGACAAUGCAGGGGACACGAGUUCGAGCCCUAGUCCAGGAAUAUCCCACAUGCCGCAGAGCAACUAAGCCCGUGCGCCACAAGUACUGAGCCUGCGCUCUAGAGCCCACGAGCCACAACUACUGAAGCCCGUGUGCCUAGAGCCCGUGCUCCGCAACAAGAGAAGCCACCGCAAUGAGAAGCCAGUGCACUGUAACGAAGAGUAGCCUCUGCUCGCCGCAACUAGAGAAAAGCCCGUGCAGCAACGAAGACCCAACGCAGCCAUAAAUAAAUAAAUAAAUAAGAAAAAAGUGAAUGGCUUUAAAAUAAAUAUUCCCAGCCCUUUAUAAGAACACACGAUGACAUGAGAAUUCCCUGGUGGUCCAGUGGUUAGGACUCCACACUUUCACUGUCGAGGGUACGAGGGUUCCCUGGUCAGGGAACUAAGAUCCCACAAGCUGUGUGGCUGGGCCAAAAAAAAAAGAACACAUGGUGACAAUAUCCAUAUGGUGCUUCAAACAUCAACAGGAAGACUUCCAGACUGUUCUUUGGUCUAUCCAGCCUACUAGCAGAGGGGGAAGUGCUUAUGGUGUUCCAGCCACAGAACUAUGCAGCAAGUGGACAGAAUUGUGGACAUAUUUCCCUCAGAGGACAACACAGACUUCUUAGUUGUUUUCAACUCUGAAAAGCCUCUAUCACCUGGACUCUACAGAUGGUGCUGCUGGGAGUACAGUCCCCAAAUCACUAAAAGGAAGCAGUAGUCCUUGAAGAAAUGGCUGAUUCCAGAGCUGGGCAGGCAAAGGGCAGAAUGACCCUGGAACAUCCUAUUGUUUCAGAAAGUAAGGAAAAUUCCAAAGAAUUAUGGGUGCAUGCCAAUGGCACACAGGAACUAGCUGAAAGAUGCUCCCUUUGGUCAAAUAUAGGACAGUUUGAGCAUCAAAAUAAAGAAUUUAAAAGAAUUCAUGAAUUGAUAAUAAAUAAGGGGCUGAGGGCAAGCUCCUCUUUGUAGUGGAAUGCCAACUAAUACAUGUUUAAGGAAUGACAGAGUUAGAAAAUCACCAUUUAGUAAACAUCACAGUAAUAAUUGACUCAGGCAAGAAUCAGCAAUGGAUGCUAUCAUUGGGUGCAAGUGUGCUGGGGAACAGGAUGUUGUGAACAGUCACAAACAUCUUCCCACCAAUUCUCUGUUAAUCACAAAGGGAAAAAAGGUGCCUUUAUAGUGCGGACACCUGGCAAACACAACCUGAACCAAGUGAUCCAAGUUAGCAUCACAAAAAGUGGGACAAACUGACAUCACUUGCCUCCUGGUAUGGUGCACUGAGUAUUCCUGACAGUGAUGCAUCAGGCAAAACUGGUCAUUCUACGGAACACAUGGUCUACACUCUUCAAAAUACCAAUGUCUUAAAAGCAAAAAAAAAAAAAGGCUGAGAAAAUGUUCGAGCUUAGAGACAUGGUAACUAAAUACAGUGCAUGAUUCUAGAUUAAAUCUUGGGAAAAGAUGCUAUAAAGGACAAUACUGGGAUAAAAAAUUGAAUGUUGACUGAAUAUUAUGUAUCAAUAUUAAAUUUCCUGAAUUUAAUAAUUGAACUGUGGCUGUGUAAGAGAAUGUCCUACUUCUUAGGAAGCACAUACCGAAGUAUUCAUGGGCAAAGGAGCGUGAUGUCUUGAACUUGCUUUCAAAUGGCUCAGAAAAGAAAAGAAUAAUACGUAUUAUAUUGUGAAUCGAGGUUAAAGGCACAUGGGAGUUUGUUAUAAUAUUUUUACAACCUUUCUAUAGGUCUAGCUCUUUUCAAAAUAAAAAGUUUAAUAGAAAAAUAAGGUUGGGGCACUUCCGCUUCUGGUAAUGGUUGAGUAAAUCCUAUGAAAGCAACCUCCACAGGGGGAAAAAUUAAAAAAAGAUGAACUCUGGACUUUAUACAAAAAAUCAGCUAAAUAAAGCCCCUAGAGAGUGAACUAUUUAUUUACCAAAUAAAAAAAAUAAAAGUGAAACAAUAUCUCUAAAGGCUGAAAGAAAAAGAAAGUCAACCCAGAAGUCUAUAUCCCAUGAACACAUCCUUCAGAAAAAAGGGAAAAUAGACAUUCUCAGUUAAAAGAGGGGAAAAAAAAAAAAGAA
Orcinus orca (killer whale) is the source of this 9537-nucleotide long non-coding RNA. RefSeq lists it as uncharacterized. The record is from RefSeq and is a predicted model, not a curated record. Lineage: Eukaryota; Metazoa; Chordata; Mammalia; Artiodactyla; Delphinidae. The transcript is spliced from 2 exons.